UGUAUGUAACUUCAUUUAUUUUACUUUUUAUUUUAUUUUUUUUAUUAUUUUACUCAAGUCAUAUGUUUUCUUAUUUGUUUUAGUGUCUGCAAUUAUCUGUCAAAAAUUAGAGAAGUGUAAUAAAUCCUGCCACAUCUAUUGUGCUUCGAUGUGUAUCUCUUCUUUCCUCACUUGGGGCUGUAUCUAUUUUGAUGUCCUGUUUUCCAGCACAGGGGAGAAAACUUUGGAAGAAUUCUCAAGAAAGGAGGCACAGUGGAGUUUGAUAACAAUUGUGUGGAGGUUAUGGCCUGAUGAAACUGUGGAUCUGUGUUGGAUUUGGCCAUGCCACCUGCCUUGGAUCUCUGGAAUCACUCCCUCUUACCAUUCCAUGGCACACAGCUCCUAGUAUGAUAAUAUGCUUUGGAGUAAGGGCCAGUGUACCUUCACGAAAAUUGGUGUG
Molecule: long non-coding RNA, 439 nt
Filed under: Felis catus (domestic cat)
Lineage: Eukaryota; Metazoa; Chordata; Mammalia; Carnivora; Felidae
Description: lncRNA (ENSFCAG00000042323.2)
Source: RNAcentral